AUUAAGUUAGGUGUGAAAGCCCUGGGCUCAACCUAGGAAUUGCACUUAAAACUGGUUAUCUGGAGUAUUGUAGAGGAAGGUAGAAUUCCACGUGUAGCGGUGAAAUGCGUAGAGAUGUGGAGGAAUACCGGUGGCGAAGGCGGCCUUCUGGACAGAUACUGACGCUGAGAUGCGAAAGCGUGGGGAGCAAACAGGAUUAGAUACCCUGGUAGUCCACGCUGUAAACGAUGUCGAUUUGGAGUUUGUUGCCUUGAGUGAUGGGCUCCGAAGCUAACGCGAUAAAUCGACCGCCUGGGGAGUACGGCCGCAAGGUUAAAACUCAAAUGAAUUGACGGGGGCCCGCACAAGCGGUGGAGCAUGUGGUUUAAUUCGAUGCAACGCGAAGAACCUUACCUGGUCUUGACAUCCAUAGAAUUCUGCAGAGAUGUGGAAGUGCCUUCGGGAGCUAUGAGACAGGUGCUGCAUGGCUGUCGUCAGCUCGUGUUGUGAAAUGUUGGGUUAAGUCCCGCAACGAGCGCAACCCUUAUCCUUUGUUGCCAUCGAUUAGGUCGGGAACUCAAAGGAGACUGCCGUUGAUAAAGCGGAGGAAGGUGGGGACGACGUCAAGUCAUCAUGGCCCUUACGACCAGGGCUACACACGUGCUACAAUGGCGUAUACAAAGGGAGGCGACCUCGCGAGAGCAAGCGGACCUCAUAAAGUACGUCUAAGUCCGGAUUGGAGUCUGCAACUCGACUCCAUGAAGUCGGAAUCGCUAGUAAUCGUGAAUCAGAAUGUCACGGUGAAUACGUUCCCGGGCCUUGUACACACCGCCCGUCACACCAUGGGAGUGGGUUGCACCAGAAGUAGAUAGCUUAACCUUCGGGAGGGCGUUUACCACGGUGUGGUCCAUGACUGGGGUGAAGUCGUAACAAGGUAACCGUAGGGGAACCUGCGGUUGGAUCACCUCCUUAC
Molecule: ribosomal RNA, 952 nt
Filed under: Gilliamella sp. wkB108
Lineage: Bacteria; Pseudomonadati; Pseudomonadota; Gammaproteobacteria; Orbales; Orbaceae
Description: bacterial SSU rRNA
Rfam family: Bacterial small subunit ribosomal RNA
Source: RNAcentral